RNAcentral lists this ribosomal RNA (446 nucleotides) under uncultured organism. RNAcentral's name for it is "partial 16S ribosomal RNA". It matches the Rfam family "Bacterial small subunit ribosomal RNA", at positions 335 to 797 of the family's 1533-position model. The record is from RNAcentral.
ACUCCUGCGGGAGGCAGCAGUGGGGAAUAUUGGACAAUGGGCGCAAGCCUGAUCCAGCCAUGCCGCGUGAGUGAUGAAGGCCCUAGGGUUGUAAAGCUCUUUCACCGGUGAAGAUAAUGACGGUAACCGGAGAAGAAGCCCCGGCUAACUUCGUGCCAGCAGCCGCGGUAAUACGAAGGGGGCUAGCGUUGUUCGGAUUUACUGGGCGUAAAGCGCACGUAGGCGGACUAUUAAGUCAGGGGUGAAAUCCCGGGGCUCAACCCCGGAACUGCCUUUGAUACUGGUAGUCUUGAGUGCGAGAGAGGUGAGUGGAAUUCCGAGUGUAGAGGUGAAAUUCGUAGAUAUUCGGAGGAACACCAGUGGCGAAGGCGGCUCACUGGCUCGAUACUGACGCUGAGGUGCGAAAGCGUGGGGAGCAAACAGGAUUAGAAACCCCUGUAGUCCCA